Molecule: microRNA, 21 nt
Filed under: Caenorhabditis briggsae
Lineage: Eukaryota; Metazoa; Nematoda; Chromadorea; Rhabditida; Rhabditidae
Description: cbr-miR-7592
Source: miRBase by way of RNAcentral
UUCGAAAUGAUCUUUAAAAGU